RNAcentral lists this ribosomal RNA (405 nucleotides) under uncultured Hydrogenophaga sp. RNAcentral's name for it is "bacterial SSU rRNA". It matches the Rfam family "Bacterial small subunit ribosomal RNA", at positions 1 to 417 of the family's 1533-position model. The record is from RNAcentral. Lineage: Bacteria; Pseudomonadati; Pseudomonadota; Betaproteobacteria; Burkholderiales; Comamonadaceae.
UGACGAGUUUGAUCCUGGCUCAGAUUGAACGCUGGCGGCAUGCUUUACACAUGCAAGUCGAACGGUAACAGGUUAAGCUGACGAGUGGCGAACGGGUGAGUAAUGCAUCGGAACGUGCCCAGUCGUGGGGGAUAACGCAGCGAAAGCUGUGCUAAUACCGCAUACGAUCUAUGGAUGAAAGCGGGGGACCGUAAGGCCUCGCGCGAUUGGAGCGGCCGAUGUCAGAUUAGCUAGUUGGUGGGGUAAAGGCCCACCAAGGCGACGAUCUGUAGCUGGUCUGAGAGGACGACCAGCCACACUGGAACUGAGACACGGUCCAGACUCCGUACGGGAGCAGCAGUUGGGGAAUUUUGGACAAUGGGGCGCAAGCCUGAUCUAGCCAUGCCGCGUGAUCGAUGAAGGUCC